CGGCCGGCCAGGCAUGGUGGCACACACCAUCAGUCCCAGCACUCACAGGGCAGAAGAAGGUAGAUCUCUGCCGCAGCCUAGUCUGUUCUCAGCUCUGCCUCAAUAAACAAACCGGCACUCCCGGAAGCUGAGGGAGAAGGAAACUCAAGCAUGGAAACUGCCUGCUCAGCCCGACGCUCAGAUAGAGGAGCAUCUUCUACAGUAACUGACCACAGCUUCACUGAUCAUGACUGUAAAGAAGUACCACAGGACUCUGCUUCUGCAGCAACGUGCUGGUGAGAAACACAGAAAAAGGAAAUAGGAAAGCCUGCAAGCUUUCACCUAAUGAAGGGGAUCAAAGACUAACAAACUCCCAAACACCAAAACCAAAAGCCCAAACUUCCAAUCUACCCAACCUGAGCUCCCUGCAGUGUGCAAGUGGGUGAGGUAGGGGUGGGUGGGGCUGAGAUGCAGCACUGUUGUGAGUGGAGCUGUCUGGGACCAUAUGGUAAGCUAACCUGCGUGCGUCCUGCUUCUCCCAAGCUCACCUUGCUCUUGAUCUGCUUGGCCGUGUCAGUGAGGAAGAUGGAGGAGUUGGGGUCACUGGCACUCAUCUUGGUCUGAGCGCCCUGCAGGGCAGGGAAGAAGGUCGAGUGCAGCAGGGCAGGUUUAGGAUGGCCGAUCCUGGGGGCCACGUCCCUUGUCAUUCUGAAGUACGGAUCCUGGUCAAUGGCACACGGGAUGAGGCACUGGAUAUCUGUCCUGUCUCGGAAGAUCUUCGGGAAAGAGUUGCUGAACGAUGGCGCGGCCUGGACAGCAGGAAAACUGAUCUUCCCUGAAAGAGGGGAGACACUCGUGUGUGCUGGGCCGACCUACUGCUCUGGGGAAUGAAUCCAGUUAAGGCAGUCAGCAAUGGUUUUCCUCCCCCCUGGAAAAACUAAAGAAGGCCACAAAACACAGAAAAGGAGGUAAAGCCUAGCCCUCUCCAAGUCCCAUCUUCAUGGCGAUGGUCGGUGUGCUCAGCUGUGUCCACACCAUGCAUGGCUGUGGAACAUAUUCUCCUUCAAUGUAUCAGGCUGUCAUGGCCACCAGUGUCACCACAGUGGUCAUUCCCAGGAGCUCGCUACUCUUCACAACUCCAUAGCAAGGCACCUCCUUCCUUCUUACAAAUGUGAAUUUAGGCUCAGGGUGUUUCUGUGGACAGUGCACAGCAUGGGAUGCACCGAGUGAGGACUGAAGUCGGCGCCAGGCAGGCAGGGCAGUGACUCUUCACAAGACACCGCUCCUGGACUGCUCACCUCAACUGUGGAUCACCCUGAUGGCAGGACUCCAGUGUCACGUAUGUCUCAAGAGCAUGAAGAUCACGCUUCACUUGCUGGGAAUGAAUCUGACUGAGCUAUCCAAGAGGAGGGGAGGGGACAGGAGCAGGCAAGCACAGACAACAGAGGCCUCUCUCAAGUCUCAAAGAGAUGAUGGCCUACAAAGGCCAACGCAUUGGAAUGACAGAGACACGUAGAGGACAUAACCAUGGUUUACAGUUGGCAAAUACUGUAUGUAUCAGUGUGUGUGUGAGACCGUGGGAGGACAGUACAGAGGGGUAGGAGGGGCCUGCAGUUAGUCAAAAUCCUUCUCUCUCUCUCUCUCUGUAUGUAUGUAUGUAUGUAUCUAUCCAUCCAUCUAUCUCAGAACUCAUUAUAUAGAUCAGGCUGGCCUCAAAAUCAGAGAUCUGCCCACUUGGCUUUGGGUGCUAGGAUUAAAGGAGUCUAUCACCAUACCCAGCUAAAGAUUCUUAGAACUGGAGAACCUGGGGCCCAGCGAACACUCCCACGAGAGAGCAGCUGAUACACCUGUCCUCCCAUCACUCUCCUGGGCCCUACCAAGCUCUGUAGUGAUUGGGGUCACACCAGCACAUUGGAGAAUUCCAGUCAGUCUUAUGUCUGUCUGUCUGAGUCUGGUGGAAUACCCACCUCUGGAUGUUUUAUAUGAAGUGCUAGCAUCUCAGGUCUCUGAGCAGGCGCGUUACCAGAGACACUUGGGCUGGGCAUGAGGCUCAGUGGUAGCAUUUGCUAUAUGCAUGAAUCUAUCCUUGGAAUGCACGCCUAUCUGCACACACCAUGUACGUUAGCCCACUAGCUCAGGCUCUGGCGUUGCCGCACUGUGCUGGCUAGCUUCCUCUGAGCUCUGCCUGCUGCCCUCGGAGGGGUCCUCUUACCGAUGCAGUCACUGUCCGUAAAGCCGAAAAUGCCUUUCACUUGGUUGAAGGUGACGUGCUUCUGAAUCUUCACCACGUUCCUGUAGAAGCCCGGGCUCUGCCUGCAGAGACAAGCAGAGACACACCCGAGAUGAAAGGCAGCGGGGCUAAAGCUGGGCAGCAGAGAGGCGCGGUGCCAGAAACACACUGGGUACCACACGUGUCCAGGCCCCGGAUAACAGGAACAUACGGAGAGGUCAUCUGUAGGCCUACAACUACAGCAGCCCCGCCUCUAGCCAGUGCUGGGAAGAGCUGUGGAAGGGUCAGAACAGAGGUAGGCACAGAGGGCAGAGCUGACAGAACGUCCACAUCUCAGCAUGCUGUGUGCAUCUCACACAAGAAGCCCCACAACUGUCUGCUGACAUGACAGUGUGUGGGAAGACACAUGUGCCCAGCUGGAAUGCUCUGGAACCGAUGGGUGCGGCAGAGGGUGUGCCCUGUGCAGGUGCUCCUGGAGUGGUGCUCUGUUCUUUGGUCAGGGCUGGCACCAUGCUCAGCCACAGGAUGGACCAUACUGUUUGGUGUGAGGGUCAUGGACAUGAUGCUUAGAUCCGUGGCAGCUGUUCUGACACCAGAGGAACAGCAGGCUGCAACAGAGCAUGGAAAUGAGCAGAAUCCAGAGUGCUGCCUUCUUUUUUAGUUUUAUUUAUGAGUGCACUGCCUGCAUGUAUGUAUGUAUGUGUACCAUGUACAUGCUGAGUGACUACAGAAUCCAGAAGCCUCUGAGACAUGUCCCUAGCCCCCACCUCUGGUGGCACCUUAGACUGGACUUGUUGACAGCACUGCUUUCUUCAGCCUAGUCCUUUGCUAGGCACUGGAAACACAGAAAGGGGGGAAGUGUGGACUGAAUGCAGGGUCUGGCAGGAGCUAUGCUAGAGGCUGAUGAAGUGGAAACUUAACAUUCUUUGUAAAGUUGGUUAGAUGGUGUUUUGCUGGGGCAAACACAUGAAGGAAUGUUUCGUUAAAGUGGACACAAGUGGAGCGCUAAGGCAGACUGGUGAAGGAGGUUUCACUGAAGCAGACACAGGAGAAAGGAUGUUCUGCUAAAGCAAGCACGUGGAAGGACAUGCGAUGAAUUCUUUGCUAAUGCCAGGCAUGUAUUGGUUUGUCUUUUGGUUUGUCUUAUAUCUCAUAGUUGAGCUGCGUUUGUCAGAUUCCAUACAGAGAAACAGAACAAAGACUUCUGGUGGUAUGCUGCAGUUUCUUGCCACUUCCCAGGACUCGGGCGAUUAGAUGCACAUGCUGAGGCGAUGCACUGGGGGACAUGUGAUAUUUGGAGGGUAUAAGUAAAACUCAACGGAGUGAAAGAAACAGAGCUUGCCUUGGUGGUACAGCUGGGCAACGCUUGUAGGUUUCAAGUCUUCACUGAUCUUUGCUUUCCUGAGAGAGGCAUAGCUGAGAACGUCUUCUGGUGUUCCUGCAGGCUGAGGCCUGACUGUCUCUGCUAGGUCGACUCACUGCUGUUGCUAUCCCGACUCUACCAAACUGCACUGCUGGUGUAUCUGUGAAGUGUUUGCCAGUGGAUCGAGCUGUCGAUGCUGACCUGUGAACUGAACUGCUGGUUUCCAGGCAACACAGAUGGGAGUUGCUCCAAAGAACCUUCCUAAACAGGUCCACUUCCCCUGUAUCCUUUCUUCUCCAGUACUUCUGGUGGGUGGUGGGUAACAAGGGAGGUUAAAGGCUUUAAGUACCAUCAUUAAAAAUAGGAUUUG
Molecule: long non-coding RNA, 3942 nt
Filed under: Mus musculus (house mouse)
Lineage: Eukaryota; Metazoa; Chordata; Mammalia; Rodentia; Muridae
Description: long non-coding RNA chr12:108865485-108869427
Source: RNAcentral